RNAcentral lists this ribosomal RNA (206 nucleotides) under uncultured bacterium. RNAcentral's name for it is "partial 16S ribosomal RNA". It matches the Rfam family "Bacterial small subunit ribosomal RNA", at positions 1287 to 1500 of the family's 1533-position model. The record is from RNAcentral.
CUCAGUUCGGAUUGGAGUCUGNAACCCGACUCCAUGAAGCUGGAUUCGCUAGUAAUCGCGCAUCAGCCAUGGCGCGGUGAAUACGUUCCCGGGCCUUGUACACACCGCCCGUCAAGCCAUGGGAGCCGGGGGCGCCUGAAGUCCGGGACCGCGAGGACCGGCCUAGGGCGAAACUGGUAACUGGGGCUAAGUCGUAACAAGGUACC